GGGCCAGGCCUCCCGCGACCCAAGCCCGCCUGCGCCUCGGGCUCCGCUCGCGGCUGCCGGGGCGCCGGUGUUCGCGCCCGCGGGGUCGCCGGGGCUCGGCCCGGGAGCUGCCUCCCGCUGCCCGGCUGCGCCGCCUCGGCCUCGCUCCCCCGCUGGCCCGCGCUGCAGCCGCCGCCUCCCGGUCUCCGUUCCGACGCUCAGGAGGAAGCUGUCUGCGUCCUCAGGCUGCGUCUCCGCGAUGGGUCAGCCCCGGCCCGGAGAGGACGGCUGAGGCCGAGACGGGCGGACGGAGAGGCGCCGCCCGAGCUGGGUCAGGAGCCGCGGCCCGCCGGCUCAGCCCUGGCCCCGCGCCCCCUUCUCUGAUUCUCUUCCCGUCCUGCUUAAACGCCCUGGCCUUGGAGGACUGGCAGGAAGCCGGCCCCGCGCCGGGCCCGUCUCAGAAGAGGGAGAGGCUGCGAGCAACAUGUUUUUAAGAUCUGGCCCAUUGCUUUGAACUACUGCUUAGUACUCCGCCACAUUUUACCUAAGGACUUCUUCAAUCAGGGACACCCAAAUUGUCUCCAACUUCCCACAACCAAAAACAAAGGUAUGAAGUCGUCAGAGAGGCCACAGAGGAGACUUAACCGUGGUUAACUCUGGAACUGAGGAGCGAGCGGUGGUAGAGUGGGUGGAGGGAACUUUCACUUUUACUUUAUGCAAUUUUUAAAUAAGCAUGUAUUAUUUUUAUAAUGAAAAGUUCCAUUCUGAAAAUAAAAGAAAGCGUUCAGUACGCAAGCAACACUAUUAUAGGCAUACCUUGAGUCUGCUCUGAUUUUCUUCAGGGAAGUCCUUCAUGAAUAUGUACAGACUAUCUCUGGAAGGAUAUUUAGGAAGCUGAUGACAGUGGUUGCCUCUCAAGAGGGAGACUGGUGGACUGGUGUUUGGAGUCAGGGAUGGGGGAAAAUGGACUGUAUACUCUUGCAUAAGAUUUAAUUUGUUUUUAACCAAAUGCGUGUAUUAUGAAUUCAAAUGGAUUAAGAGAAAAUUAUUAAAAGCUUCAGUGAUUUAUAAUCA
This is a non-coding RNA of Equus caballus (horse), 1053 nucleotides long. Lineage: Eukaryota; Metazoa; Chordata; Mammalia; Perissodactyla; Equidae. The record is from RefSeq and is a predicted model, not a curated record.